RNAcentral lists this ribosomal RNA (1372 nucleotides) under uncultured bacterium. RNAcentral's name for it is "bacterial SSU rRNA". It matches the Rfam family "Bacterial small subunit ribosomal RNA", at positions 28 to 1381 of the family's 1533-position model. The record is from RNAcentral.
GAUGAACGCUGGCGGCGUGCCUAAUACAUGCAAGUCGAGCGAACGGACGAGAAGCUUGCUUCUCUGAUGUUAGCGGCGGACGGGUGAGUAACACGUGGAUAACCUACCUAUAAGACUGGGAUAACUUCGGGAAACCGGAGCUAAUACCGGAUAAUAUUUUGAACCGCAUGGUUCAAAAGUGAAAGACGGUCUUGCUGUCACUUAUAGAUGGAUCCGCGCUGCAUUAGCUAGUUGGUAAGGUAACGGCUUACCAAGGCAACGAUGCAUAGCCGACCUGAGAGGGUGAUCGGCCACACUGGAACUGAGACACGGUCCAGGCUCCUACGGGAGGCAGCAGUAGGGAAUCUUCCGCAAUGGGCGAAAGCCUGACGGAGCAACGCCGCGUGAGUGAUGAAGGUCUUCGGAUCGUAAAACUCUGUUAUUAGGGAAGAACAUAUGUGUAAGUAACUGUGCACAUCUUGACGGUACCUAAUCAGAAAGCCACGGCUAACUACGUGCCAGCAGCCGCGGUAAUACGUAGGUGGCAAGCGUUAUCCGGAAUUAUUGGGCGUAAAGCGCGCGUAGGCGGUUUUUUAAGUCUGAUGUGAAAGCCCACGGCUCAACCGUGGAGGGUCAUUGGAAACUGGAAAACUUGAGUGCAGAAGAGGAAAGUGGAAUUCCAUGUGUAGCGGUGAAAUGCGCAGAGAUAUGGAGGAACACCAGUGGCGAAGGCGACUUUCUGGUCUGUAACUGACGCUGAUGUGCGAAAGCGUGGGGAUCAAACAGGAUUAGAUACCCUGGUAGUCCACGCCGUAAACGAUGAGUGCUAAGUGUUAGGGGGUUUCCGCCCCUUAGUGCUGCAGCUAACGCAUUAAGCACUCCGCCUGGGGAGUACGACCGCAAGGUUGAAACUCAAAGGAAUUGACGGGGACCCGCACAAGCGGUGGAGCAUGUGGUUUAAUUCGAAGCAACGCGAAGAACCUUACCAAAUCUUGACAUCCUUUGACAACUCUAGAGAUAGAGCUUUCCCCUUCGGGGGACAAAGUGACAGGUGGUGCAUGGUUGUCGUCAGCUCGUGUCGUGAGAUGUUGGGUUAAGUCCCGCAACGAGCGCAACCCUUAAGCUUAGUUGCCAUCAUUAAGUUGGGCACUCUAAGUUGACUGCCGGUGACAAACCGGAGGAAGGUGGGGAUGACGUCAAAUCAUCAUGCCCCUUAUGAUUUGGGCUACACACGUGCUACAAUGGACAAUACAAAGGGCAGCGAAACCGCGAGGUCAAGCAAAUCCCAUAAAGUUGUUCUCAGUUCGGAUUGUAGUCUGCAACUCGACUACAUGAAGCUGGAAUCGCUAGUAAUCGUAGAUCAGCAUGCUACGGUGAAUACGUUCCCGGGUCU